RNAcentral lists this ribosomal RNA (442 nucleotides) under uncultured bacterium. Its description in RNAcentral is "partial 16S ribosomal RNA". It matches the Rfam family "Bacterial small subunit ribosomal RNA", at positions 338 to 795 of the family's 1533-position model. The record is from RNAcentral.
CCUACGGGAGGCAGCAGUGGGGAAUAUUGGGCAAUGGGCGCAAGCCUGACCCAGUAACGCCGCGUGAAGGAAGAAGGCUCUCGGGUUGUAAACUUCCUUUAGGCGGGAAGAGCAGAAGACGGUACCUCUUGAAUAAGCCACGGCUAACUACGUGCCAGCAGCCUCGGUAAGACGGAGGUGGCAAGCGUUGUCCGGGUUUACUGGGGGUAAAGGGCGUGCAGCCGGGAAGACAAGUCAGAUGUGAAAUCCCGCGGCUCAACCGCGGAACUGCAUUUGAAACUGUUGUUCUUGAGUACCGGAGAGGUCAGCGGAAUUCGUUGUGUAGCGGUGAAAUGCGUAGAUAUAAGGAAGAACACCAGUGGCGAAGGCGGAUGACUGGACGGCAACUGACGGUGAGGCGCGAAAGCGUGGGGAGCAAACAGGAUUAGAUACCCGAGUAGUC